This 2571-nucleotide unclassified non-coding RNA is filed under the name Hevea brasiliensis (rubber tree). The record is from RNAcentral. Lineage: Eukaryota; Viridiplantae; Streptophyta; Magnoliopsida; Malpighiales; Euphorbiaceae.
CUUAAUAUGAAAAAGUUGCUCAAUGAAUAAGUUCAUCACAGUUAGGCUUAGGCCUGCAAAUAAAAAGAACUUGUACAAGAGUCAUCCAUUUACAGCAUGAACAAAAGUCUUUCCAGUAAACAGAUGGGUAUUGACAAUGCCCCAAAACUGUGGUAUCAUCGAGUCGGAUAUGCAAUGGCAGUCCCACAAAGAAAAUACAUAUUGUAACUAUUGAUCCAUUCCAGGAUUGCUCUGCAGUACGUCCUUGAGUGUGAACAAUAACAUGGUAAAGAAGAACUCGCCAAAUAACAAAUUAUGAAAACCUUUUUUUAAUUCUUAAGAUUUAACACACCAUAAAGUUUCUAACAUUAAUAUCUACGGUAGCGCAACGCCAGAUUACAAUAGCACCAGUCAACAAGAUUUCAAAGCAAUGACUUUUCAUACGUUCUAUGCACCUAAAAAUCAUUUCUUUACUGUCAACUACCUCUUAGCCCGCAUAAAAUCCUCUACCAGCUCUUAUCAAAAGUAGGACUUAGCCCACAAUCGUCUGUUAUUGGUUGGAUCGCAAACAGCUAACCAAGUUGGCUCCAACGUGCAUAAGGAGCAAAGGCGGCUGCUCACAAUCUUGAAAAAAAUUCCAGAGGUUUAUUCCUCUAACAUCAAUCAAGCAUUUAAUGGCUCUGCUUCCAUCUCUUUCAUUGCUGUCCAAUCUUGUGAUCUCGGUUUUUGACUUUCCGCAAUAACCAGAAGCCGCCUCUGCAAAAGGGAUGCCACACAGAGGAAAAUGGAGCACAUGCCAAACAUGACAAUAAUAGGAAACGCAUCAACAUUGUACAACACAACACAAACAAAUAUGUUGAGAGGAAUGCGGAAGAAAUUCAUGAUGGUGCUUCUAGCCUCCUCAGGAAUAUAUUGGGAUCUCAUCUUCAUAAUAGAUGGCCAGAAAAUACCCACACAUGACUCAAAAGUGCAGAAGCCAAGAAGCUGGAUAGACCCUGAAAAUGAGAUGCUUCCACCUUUCUCUCCAGUUGGAACUAUCAAGAAACUUGCUAUAACAGGAAGCAGAAGGGACGCAGCAGAUAUUACAAAAACAAUCUGCAUAUAGCUCUCAACUUUGGGGGAUGAGCGAGCCAGCAGUCGAGAUGCAAUGGAGCUUCCCAACAUUGAAGCCAGCAUGAAUGUUGCAAAAAUGAAACCAUGAGGAAUGUCCUCACCGUUUGGGCUUAGAGCAGGAGUCCAAAGGAACACAAAGGUGUACAUUGAACCUUCGAAUAGGGACUGUAUGGCACCCAACAAUGCAAUUUUCUCAUCAGAAGCAAUAGCAACAGCAGCGCCCUUGAAUUGGGUAAGUAAGUCCUUGUUUUCUGAAGUGUCUCCAUAAUUUUCAGCCCAUGUUGACACUAUGAUAGCCAUACCAAUUGCAAGAAAGCAAGCAGCAGCAUCAAAUGGAGAAACAGGACCAAGGCCCAAGUUAUCCACUAGUAGAUUACCGAACAACCCAGACAUAAUGGCAACUAAACCAUUGCCAAGAAAUAUUGCUUUUGAGAAUGUCAUUGACAACCAUUGUUGGUCAAAACCCCUUUGCAAAAUUCAAAGGGAGCAAUGAGAUAUAAAGCGUACUUAAAAUGUCAAAGUAGACUUCAUGGGUCUUAAGAGCCGAUUACUGAAAGCAAUUCACAGGCAAAUAUAAUUCCUACAGUGAAACAUUUUUCAAUCCUAACACGUUCUAAGUAUUAAUCAUAGGCUUACAAUCAGGGAUAAGAGAAGCACCAAGACCCUUCAAGUGAUAACCUCCACCUACUAAAUGUAAAAUAGCAGCAUUGAAGCAUUAUCCCACAAUUUACAUAAUUCACUCAAGUCUCUAACCCAAAACCUUUAAACAAUUAACAGGACAGAAUUCAAUUUAAGAUGUACAUUAUUAAACCCUACCAUCAAUUAAAGCUAAACAGUUCAACUCAUCACACACCUUAAAGUGUUCUGCAACAAGCCAAGACUCAAAUGCUGAAAAAAGUAGAGAAGUGGCAAUGCCUCCCAAUACACGUCCCAACAUUAAGACUUUGUACUCAGGAGAAUGCUUGGUGAUGCAGCUCAGAAUGUAAGUUAUGCAGUAAGUAACACAUGCUCUCCUUCGACCCUGCUUAUCAGCAAGAGAACCAACAAUUGUCCCAAAUAGCAUAGAAGAUCCAAAGCCAGCAAUAAAGAGCUGGCCUAUCUCUCCCUUUCCAAACCCAUACUGACUGUACAAGUAGUACACAUAUGGACCCUGCAACCAAUCCCCAGCCAUCAUGAGGGAAUAAACAACUAGGUAAUUGUUCUUGAAGGCAUUGAAAGCAGGAGAUGUAUUAAUACGAUCUCUGUUUGCUUUGCUGAGCUCAAGCGCUGCCACCACGGCCGCUAGGCAACCAAAUACCAUGAAGUAGAAAAUCUCCAUUGUUCAAUAUCUUCCUCUUUGGAGAUCGAUUUGCAAGAGAUAAAUUGAGAGAGUGUAGGAGAUAAACAACUAGGAUUGGAUGUUAAAAAGAGGCCGCCUUUGAACCCCAAAUCAUCAUUUCUUUCUCAGUGGUUUGGACGGUUUAAAACUGACGAAACUCC